Molecule: long non-coding RNA, 475 nt
Filed under: Mytilus galloprovincialis (Mediterranean mussel)
Lineage: Eukaryota; Metazoa; Mollusca; Bivalvia; Mytilida; Mytilidae
Source: RNAcentral
CCUCCGUGACUUAAAUCUUCAUGGAUAUCUGUAAACACGCCUGUACGAAGGGCUCAUUUGAAAUGUUAAUGGAUAUAGAUCAUGCCAAAUCAAUAAGAAGCAACCCUAACUACACAAAGAUGUAGAGAAAAUGAAUGGUUAGCUUGAAAAAUAAAUAUACUCUCUCUAUAUUAAAUCCAUCUUCGAUUGCAAUGAGUAUGCUCCUUUAGGAUAAGGGGGGCUGCCCCACUCAUUGCAAUUAUUCUCUUUCUUACAAUAUUAAAUAUACCCAAACUGUGUGGUGUGUGUGAAUUCAAUUAAAACAUGUCCUUAGGAGCUAUGCUGCCAAUUUUUUUUAUGCAUUAAAAACAUUUCAGUACAGACCAUUUACUUUUAAUGGGGUGCUAUGGAUUUCACCCCAAACUUUAGAUUUCUUUGGUUUUCAUUAAAGCCUCGCAAAAAUAUAACCUUAUCACAUAUAAUUAAAUAUUGUUAG